CAAAGAAAUAAGAGGAUAUUCUGUGAACCCAGGAAAUUCUAUUAUGUACAAAUUUUCUUACAAGAGAGUAACAACAUUGAUGUCUGUCUUUUGCAAGCUCCUUUUUGUUUUCUUUUGUGUAAUGUUUUAUUGAUGCUUCUUUUUCUUUUAUUACUUCUACUACUUCCAAGCUAGGUUGAAACAGCUAAGUGGCACAGUAGAUAAGAGUGCUAGACCUGAAGUCAGGGAGAUCCUCUUCCUAAGCUCAAAUCUGGCCUCAGAUACUUACUGGCUGUGUGUCUCUUAUCCCUGUUUGCCUCAGUUCCUCAACUAUAAAAAAAUAGCUGAAGAAGGAAUGGCAAACUACUCCAGUAUCUCUGCCAAGAAAAUCCCAAAUGGUCAUGAAGAGUCAGAUAUGACUAAAAUGACUGAACAACAAAUUACUGCCCACCAAUCAUGUCUUCUCUUCCUCUCCCAAAGAGCCCUACUUUGAAACAAAUAAAUAUAUACAAGUAAAACAUGUCUACACAUUGGAAAACAACAUCUCAUUCUGUAUCUCUAGUUCCUCAGCUAUCUGUUAUCUAUCAAUUUCAGUCUUCUAAAAUUAUAAUUGGCCAAUGUAUUGAUCAGAGUUCUGAAGCCUUUCUAAAUUGCAUUCCUUUAUAGUAUCAGUGUAAGUCUAAUUAUUCUCCUAGUUCUGCUUAUUUCACUCUGUAUCAGUUCAUACAAGUCUUACCAAAGUUCUCUGAAUCCUUCACACUUAUUCCUUGUUCCCUAUGAUGCAAUAAUACUUCAUUACAUUCUUGUAUUACAAUUUGCUUAGUUCUCAAGUUGAUGGGUACUCAUCCUUUAUAAGAAGUACUCUCUCCAUGACCUGGAUUCCAAGAGGCACUCCAGGAAUGAGGAUCAUUUGUACCAAGGCAUUUUUAUGCCUUUGAUUAUGGUGGAUAGCAAGUGGAUCUGUUUGGUCAUCUCUAUAGAGAGAGUGCAUGAAGGAGGAGAAUCAUGUCCAAAAAGCCUGGAAAGUCAUUAAAAUCCAGUGGCAAGACAAAAGGCAGGGAGCCUAGCAAUGCAACAGGAUGCAAUGGAUAUUGGCAUACAUCUGACCAAGCUCUAAGAUCUCCACAACUACUGCUUCAAAAUGCCUUCAUGGCUGUUGGAACAAAUUCUUCUCAUUUGUCCCUUCCUAUUUAGAUGGUGUUCUGGACUCGCUCCCCCGUACCCCUCCUUCAAAGGCAGUGGAAACUCCCGUCCCAGAAGACGACAAAAUGACUUUCCAUGGCCUGAAUAAUGUGUUGAGGCGGUUUUGAGCAACAGCCCCGCCCCCUACCCCAGAAAGUUCUGUUUUGUUUGGAUGGGGAAGGAAGUCAGGACAUUUAAAGAAAUAAAAUGAAGUUUGGAGGUUUUUUGACA
Long non-coding RNA from Monodelphis domestica (gray short-tailed opossum), 1392 nucleotides. NCBI's taxonomy places the organism in Eukaryota, Metazoa, Chordata, Mammalia, Didelphimorphia, Didelphidae. The record is from Ensembl.